RNAcentral lists this ribosomal RNA (508 nucleotides) under uncultured bacterium. Its description in RNAcentral is "partial 16S ribosomal RNA". It matches the Rfam family "Bacterial small subunit ribosomal RNA", at positions 28 to 523 of the family's 1533-position model. The record is from RNAcentral.
GAUGAACGCUAGCUACAGGCUUAACACAUGCAAGUCGAGGGGAAACGAUAUUGGAAGCUUGCUUCCGAUAGGCGUCGACCGGCGCACGGGUGAGUAACGCGUAUCCAACCUGCCCACCACUUGGGAAUAACCUUGCGAAAGUAAGACUAAUGCCCAAUGAUAUCUCUAGAAGACAUCUGAAGGAGAUUAAAGAUUUAUCGGUGAUGGAUGGGGAUGCGUCUGAUUAGCUUGUUGGCGGGGUAACGGCCCACCAAGGGGACGAUCAGUAGGGGUUCUGAGAGGAAGGUCCCCCACAUUGGAACUGAGACACGGUCCAAACUCCUACGGGAGGCAGCAGUGAGGAAUAUUGGUCAAUGGGCGAGAGCCUGAACCAGCCAAGUAGCGUGCAGGAUGACGGCCCUAUGGGUUGUAAACUGCUUUUAUAAGGGAAUAAAGUUAGUCUCGUGAGACUUUUUGCAUGUACCUUAUGAAUAAGGACCGGCUAAUUCCGUGCCAGCAGCCGCGGUAA